CCUACGGGAGGCUGCAGUGAGGAAUAUUGGUCAAUGGACGAGAGUCUGAACCAGCCAAGCCGCGUGAAGGAUGACUGCCCUAUGGGUUGUAAACUUCUUUUAUAUGGGAAUAAAAUGUUCCACGUGUGGGAUUUUGUAUGUACCAUAUGAAUAAGGAUCGGCUAACUCCGUGCCAGCAGCCGCGGUAAUACGGAGGAUCCGAGCGUUAUCCGGAUUUAUUGGGUUUAAAGGGUGGGUAGGUGGAUGGUUAAGUCAGUUGUGAAAGUUUGCGGCUCAACCGUAGAAUUGCAGUUGAAACUGGCAGUCUUGAGUGCGGUAGAGGUAGGCGGAAUGCGUGGUGUAGCGGUGAAAUGCUUAGAUAUCACGAAGAACUCCGAUUGCGAAGGCAGCUCACUGGACUGCAACUGACGCUGAGGCACGAAAGUGUGGGUAUCGAACAGGAUUAGAUACCCGUGUAGUC
RNAcentral lists this ribosomal RNA (460 nucleotides) under uncultured bacterium. RNAcentral describes it as "partial 16S ribosomal RNA". It matches the Rfam family "Bacterial small subunit ribosomal RNA", at positions 338 to 795 of the family's 1533-position model. The record is from RNAcentral.